RNAcentral lists this ribosomal RNA (497 nucleotides) under uncultured bacterium. RNAcentral's name for it is "partial 16S ribosomal RNA". It matches the Rfam family "Bacterial small subunit ribosomal RNA", at positions 28 to 507 of the family's 1533-position model. The record is from RNAcentral.
GAUGAACGCUGGCGGCGUGCCUAAUACAUGCAAGUCGAGCGAACAGACGAGGAGCUUGCUCCUCUGACGUUAGCGGCGGACGGGUGAGUAACACGUGGAUAACCUACCUAUAAGACUGGGAUAACUUCGGGAAACCGGAGCUAAUACCGGAUAAUAUUUUGAACCGCAUGGUUCAAUAGUGAAAGACGGUUUUGCUGUCACUUAUAGAUGGAUCCGCGCCGCAUUAGCUAGUUGGUAAGGUAACGGCUUACCAAGGCAACGAUGCGUAGCCGACCUGAGAGGGUGAUCGGCCACACUGGAACUGAGACACGGUCCAGACUCCUACGGGAGGCAGCAGUAGGGAAUCUUCCGCAAUGGGCGAAAGCCUGACGGAGCAACGCCGCGUGAGUGAUGAAGGUCUUCGGAUCGUAAAACUCUGUUAUUAGGGAAGAACAUAUGUGUAAGUAACUGUGCACGUCUUGACGGUACCUAAUCAGAAAGCCACGGCUAACUACGUG